Non-coding RNA from Camellia sinensis, 455 nucleotides. NCBI's taxonomy places the organism in Eukaryota, Viridiplantae, Streptophyta, Magnoliopsida, Ericales, Theaceae. The record is from RefSeq and is a predicted model, not a curated record.
UUAAUUGGUUACUGUCUUUUUAGUACUUCAUGUAUCAUUGUUAAGUCUUCUUUGCCAUUUUGUUAUAUCAUAGAUACAAGAGAAGGAAUAAUCUGUCUGGGCUUCAGCCCUAAACUGUUUAUUUUGUCUGUGAUAGAGGCAAAAUCCGGAGGAAGAAGCUAGAAGGACUUGACAUAAGGGAAAGAAGACAAUAUGAAGCAUCAAACAAUGGAUGUCAUUUCUCGAUUUGAACAUUUUUUAUGGAGGUCUUUAUAAAAUGGCGUCAUGAGUAAUACUUUUGAGUACUAUUGUAAUGUGACAAGUUUAUAUAUACCUUUUAGAUUAUGGCGUGGCCUAUUAGUUUGCUAGAAAUAUUGGAUCUAUUUUGCAUUACAAGCUUAUGUAAUGAACCUUUUAAUUAUGGUGUUUUGUAUAUUUUGGAAUUAUGAAAAUGCAGACUCUUUUACCUUUUACAA